RNAcentral lists this ribosomal RNA (267 nucleotides) under uncultured bacterium. RNAcentral describes it as "partial 16S ribosomal RNA". It matches the Rfam family "Bacterial small subunit ribosomal RNA", at positions 87 to 353 of the family's 1533-position model. The record is from RNAcentral.
GAUGGCGACCGGCGCACGGUGAGUAACACGUAUCCAACCUGCCCUUUACUCGGGGAUAGCCUUUCGAAAGAAAGAUUAAUACCCGAUGGCAUAAUGAUUCCGCAUGGUUUCAUUAUUAAAGGAUUCCGGUAAAGGAUGGGGAUGCGUUCCAUUAGGUUGUUGGUGAGGUAACGGCUCACCAAGCCUUCGAUGGAUAGGGGUUCUGAGAGGAAGGUCCCCCACAUUGGAACUGAGACACGGUCCAAACUCCUACGGGGAGGCAGCAUG